This 360-nucleotide long non-coding RNA is filed under the name Parus major (Great Tit). RNAcentral's name for it is "lncRNA (ENSPMJG00000013396.1)". The record is from RNAcentral. Lineage: Eukaryota; Metazoa; Chordata; Aves; Passeriformes; Paridae.
CAGCCUCCUGCUCCGGGGUUAACUGAUGGAGAAUAUUCAGGGCUGAGCUUCAGGAGGAGAUAACAACUUGUGGUGGACUCCAACCUUUCCCCAGAGCAGCUUGUGCCCAGGUGAAUUGAAUCCUGUCCUUUGGGAGUAAACCCAGGUUCUCCUGCACAGGACACUGCACACGUGCACCCAGAACCAGGUGGGCCAUGGCACACCCCUGCUGCAGACAUGCACAUCCCUCUGGAAAGCACCUGCAGGGGAACUGAAGUGUGCCAGCUGACUGCUCCUGGCCCCAUCAGCAUUGUCUCCUCUCCUAAAUGCAAGGCUCAGCCAGGCACAAGGGGGACACAAAGUGCUUGCUGCUGAUCAGAC